AGAACGAACGCUGGCGGCAUGCCUAACACAUGCAAGUCGAACGCUUUUGGGGCUUCGGUCCCAAAGGAGUGGCGCACGGGUGAGUAGCGCGUGGGAACCUGCCCUGUUGUGGGGGAUAACCGAGGGAAACUUCGGCUAAUACCGCAUACGCCCGGGGGAAACUCCGGGGAAAGAUUCAUCGCAGCAGGAGGGGCCCGCGUCGGAUUAGGUAGUUGGUGGGGUAACGGCCCACCAAGCCUGUGAUCCGUAGCUGGUCUGAGAGGAUGAUCAGCCACACUGGGACUGAGACACGGCCCAGACUCCUACGGGAGGCAGCAGUGGGGAAUAUUGGACAAUGGGCGCAAGCCUGAUCCAGCAAUGCCGCGUGAGUGAUGAAGGCCUUCGGGUGUAAAGCUCUUUCGCACGCGACGAUGAUGACGGUAGCGUGAGAAGAAGCCCCGGCUAACUUCGUGCCAGCAGCCGC
Molecule: ribosomal RNA, 463 nt
Filed under: uncultured bacterium
Lineage: Bacteria
Description: SSU rRNA
Rfam family: Bacterial small subunit ribosomal RNA
Source: RNAcentral